AAUACAUGCAAGUCGAGCGGACAGAAGGGAGCUUGCUCCCGGAUGUUAGCGGCGGACGGGUGAGUAACACGUGGGUAACCUGCCUGUAAGACUGGGAUAACUCCGGGAAACCGGAGCUAAUACCGGAUAGUUCCUUGAACCGCAUGGUUCAAGGAUGAAAGACGGUUUCGGCUGUCACUUACAGAUGGACCCGCGGCGCAUUAGCUAGUUGGUGGGGUAAUGGCUCACCAAGGCGACGAUGCGUAGCCGACCUGAGAGGGUGAUCGGCCACACUGGGACUGAGACACGGCCCAGACUCCUACGGGAGGCAGCAGUAGGGAAUCUUCCGCAAUGGACGAAAGUCUGACGGAGCAACGCCGCGUGAGUGAUGAAGGUUUUCGGAUCGUAAAGCUCUGUUGUUAGGGAAGAACAAGUGCGAGAGUAACUGCUCGCACCUUGACGGUACCUAACCAGAAAGCCACGGCUAACUACGUGCCAGCAGCCGCGGUAAUACGUAGGUGGCAAGCGUUGUCCGGAAUUAUUGGGCGUAAAGGGCUCGCAGGCGGUUUCUUAAGUCUGAUGUGAAAGCCCCCGGCUCAACCGGGGAGGGUCAUUGGAAACUGGGAAACUUGAGUGCAGAAGAGGAGAGUGGAAUUCCACGUGUAGCGGUGAAAUGCGUAGAGAUGUGGAGGAACACCAGUGGCGAAGGCGACUCUCUGGU
RNAcentral lists this ribosomal RNA (700 nucleotides) under Bacillus pumilus. RNAcentral's name for it is "bacterial SSU rRNA". It matches the Rfam family "Bacterial small subunit ribosomal RNA", at positions 50 to 733 of the family's 1533-position model. Lineage: Bacteria; Bacillati; Bacillota; Bacilli; Caryophanales; Bacillaceae. The record is from RNAcentral.